CGCGCGGUGCGUCACGGAUCGUCGCGUAAAUUUUGAAAAUAGAACCCGAUUCGGUUUCGGAUCGGACUGUGAAUAAAACAAAUAGUGCAGUGCAGUGAAAAACUGAUUGUUCAAUCGAUUUGUGCGAGUGAUAUCUGUGACGGUGAUUUUUUGCACGACACUAGUGCACGGAACGGAGGAUUCAUUUCCGUAAUGUCUGGAAAUGCGCAAUAAACAGCUAUGGACUCAAAAACAGAAGCAAUCAAAAUGGCGUAGUAGUUGAACAAAUGGUUAUAAAAUAUAAAACAAUAGAGACUGUAUAAAGAAAUGGGGUUGGAAAGGUGAUAUUUGCAGAAAAUGGCCACCGAUAGAUUGCCACUACACCUCUGCAAUUCAAUAAAACAGUACUGGCUGAUACUAGAAAGUAGUUUAAAGAAUCAAUUAAGUUUUUUUAAGCAGACUCAAGUGAAGUUACGAAAAAGUUUGAAAUUGGACUCGCAGGAGAGAAUCAAAUUAGUUUUACUGUUAGUGCUAUUACUGACUCAGGACUCGAACGGUAAUAACUUUGGGGGUAGUAGGAAUUCUAUGUUAAGGACCAGAGUUAUUGGCACGAGGUACGGGAAAUUGCAAGGCGUUAUAUUGCCGAUGGAUCAGCAUAAAUACUUGAAACCCGUCGAGGCGUAUCUCGGGGUUCCGUACGCUACUCCGCCUACUGGAUCUAACAGAUUUGCCCCAACCCGUGCGCCGGCGCCGUGGGACGACGUCAAAACGGUCGAUCAGAUGGGGCCAGUCUGUCCCCAACGUCUACCAGACAUCUCCAACGAGACCCUGGUUCUGGAGAGGAUGCCCAAAGGACGGUUGGAGUACCUGAGACGGCUGCUGCCUCGACUGAAGAACCAGAGC
Ostrinia nubilalis (European corn borer) is the source of this 882-nucleotide long non-coding RNA. RefSeq lists it as uncharacterized. The record is from RefSeq and is a predicted model, not a curated record. The transcript is spliced from 3 exons. Lineage: Eukaryota; Metazoa; Arthropoda; Insecta; Lepidoptera; Crambidae.